GCUGGGAUGGCUCAGUCAGUAGAGCAUGAAACUCUUAAUAUCAGGUUCAUGGGUUCAAGACUCAAAUUGGGCG
Non-coding RNA from Podarcis lilfordi (Lilford's wall lizard), 73 nucleotides. Lineage: Eukaryota; Metazoa; Chordata; Lepidosauria; Squamata; Lacertidae. The record is from the annotation of a GenBank genome assembly.